Molecule: ribosomal RNA, 513 nt
Filed under: uncultured bacterium
Lineage: Bacteria
Description: partial 16S ribosomal RNA
Rfam family: Bacterial small subunit ribosomal RNA
Source: RNAcentral
GACGAACGCUGGCGGCGUGCUUAACACAUGCAAGUCGAACGAAAAGAGGGAAAGAGCUUGCUCUUUCCGGAAUUGAGUGGCAAACGGGUGAGUAACACGUAAACAACCUGCCUUCAGGAUGGGGACAACAGACGGAAACGACUGCUAAUACCGAAUAAGUUCCAAGAGCCGCAUGGCCCAUGGAAGAAAAGGUGGCCUCUACCUGUAAGCUAUCGCCUGAAGAGGGGUUUGCGUCUGAUUAGCUGGUUGGAGGGGUAACGGCCCACCAAGGCGAAGAUCAGUAGCCGGUCUGAGAGGAUGAACGGCCACACUGGAACUGAGACACGGUCCAGACUCCUACGGGAGGCAGCAGUGGGGAAUCUUCCGCAAUGGGCGAAAGCCUGACGGAGCAACGCCGCGUGAGUGAUGACGGCCUUCGGGUUGUAAAACUCUGUGAUCCGGGACGAAAAGGCAGAGUGCGAAGAACAAACUGCAUUGACGGUACCGGAAAAGCAAGCCGCGGCUAACUACGUG